UACGUAGGGUGCAAGCGUUGUCCGGAAUUAUUGGGCGUAAAGAGCUCGUAGGCGGUCUGUCGCGUCGGCUGUGAAAACUCGGGGCUCAACUCCGAGCUUGCAGUCGAUACGGGCAGGCUAGAGUUCGGCAGGGGAGACUGGAAUUCCUGGUAUAGCGGUGAAAUGCGCAGAUAUCAGGAGGAACACCGGUGGCGAAGGCGGGUCUCUGGGCCGAUACUGACGCUGAGGAGCGAAAGCGUGGGGAGCGAACAGG
Molecule: ribosomal RNA, 253 nt
Filed under: uncultured bacterium
Lineage: Bacteria
Description: partial 16S ribosomal RNA
Rfam family: Bacterial small subunit ribosomal RNA
Source: RNAcentral